CUGGGCAAAGCUCAGAACGUCAGCACCACGCUCCAGGAGUAGCCGCACAGCAGCUAUCUUGCCUGCUGAUGCCUGCAAACACCGUGUUACACUGGGUGUCAUCUCGUGUAGGAACCAAGGAAGACUUCACAAGAGAUGAAAGGCAUGUCUGAUGUCCUCAGCACCACAAGUCUACUGUGAGGUGCCAGCCUAUCUCAGGGAUCUGAAAUUGCCUCUGCCCUACUUCAACUGAAAUCAUCUUGAAAGUUUCCUAACCUCAUCACUUUGCGUGCAAGUGCUUCCUGCAAGGCGAGGACGUGCUCUCACCUCGUCCCGCUGGCCGCUCCAUGCAGCAAGUAGGAGCCGCCGCUCCUCGUUGCUUCGGUGGGGGCUCUCCUUGAGCAGGUAGUCAGGAAAGCC
Molecule: long non-coding RNA, 399 nt
Organism: Dermacentor silvarum
Lineage: Eukaryota; Metazoa; Arthropoda; Arachnida; Ixodida; Ixodidae
Exons: 3
Source: RefSeq, a predicted model, not a curated record